CCUACGGGAGGCAGCAGUGGGGAAUUUUGGACAAUGGGCGCAAGCCUGAUCCAGCCAUGCCGCGUGCGGGAAGAAGGCCUUCGGGUUGUAAACCGCUUUUGUCAGGGAAGAAAUCCUUUGAGCUAACACCUCGGGGGGAUGACGGUACCUGAAGAAUAAGCACCGGCUAACUACGUGCCAGCAGCCGCGGUAAUACGUAGGGUGCGAGCGUUAAUCGGAAUUACUGGGCGUAAAGCGUGCGCAGGCGGUCUUGCAAGACAGGUGUGAAAUCCCCGGGCUUAACCUGGGAACUGCACUUGUGACUGCAAGGCUGGAGUACGGCAGAGGGGGAUGGAAUUCCGCGUGUAGCAGUGAAAUGCGUAGAUAUGCGGAGGAACACCGAUGGCGAAGGCAAUCCCCUGGGCCUGUACUGACGCUCAUGCACGAAAGCGUGGGGAGCAAACAGGAUUAGAUACCCUGGUAGUCCACGCCCUAAACGAUGUCAACUGGUUGUUGGACGGCUUGCUGUUCAGUAACGAAGCUAACGCGUGAAGUUGACCGCCUGGGGAGUACGGCCGCGAAGGUUGAAACGUUAAAGUGAAAGUUGACGG
RNAcentral lists this ribosomal RNA (590 nucleotides) under uncultured bacterium. RNAcentral's name for it is "bacterial SSU rRNA". It matches the Rfam family "Bacterial small subunit ribosomal RNA", at positions 338 to 916 of the family's 1533-position model. The record is from RNAcentral.